UGAAUUUUUAUCAGCACUAGCUGGGAUUGCGAUUGUAUAAUGAGUAGUUGCCUCUGUAUUACCUCUGACUUUAUGUCUCUUUCGAGGUCUGCUGUAUUUCUGUCUCCUGUGGUGAAUUUACUGCUGUGACCUCUGCGGAAUGGAUCGUAGAUCAAGAAUGGCUGCCAAUACCUGUCUGUGACACGAGGCCCUAACUUUGAGAACUUGCAAUCCUGAGGUGGUGGUGAGACCCUCUGCUGGACAGAAGGAGCCGCUGUCCGUGUGCCCUGGCCUCCAGUUCUCGAGGUGUCAUCACUGCGUGUAUAUUAUUCUGAGUGCUGGGAAACUUGGUUAUCUGCUUAGAAAAUCCAAUAAAACCAG
Molecule: long non-coding RNA, 360 nt
Filed under: Chinchilla lanigera (long-tailed chinchilla)
Lineage: Eukaryota; Metazoa; Chordata; Mammalia; Rodentia; Chinchillidae
Description: lncRNA (ENSCLAG00000024202.1)
Source: RNAcentral